Molecule: long non-coding RNA, 604 nt
Filed under: Rattus norvegicus (Norway rat)
Lineage: Eukaryota; Metazoa; Chordata; Mammalia; Rodentia; Muridae
Description: long non-coding RNA NONRATT019143
Source: RNAcentral
GCCCCUCUGGCUCGGUCCUCCUCCACCCGCCUCGCGGACUCGGGCGGGGGUUAGGGGGGGCACUCUGACACUCUUAGCACAGUUGGGAAAGGGGUGGAGGGCGAGCAGGGCGAACUACAUCUCCCAUCAUGCCCAGCACUGCGGUCCUCACAAAACAAAAAAGGAAGUCGAUUCCUUCACCUGGAUCCCCGGGAGAGGGAGGGGCCCGGACCGCCGACUGCGCUGGAGACUUUUCGCUUAGCUCCUGGUCAGCUGUCGUGUUUGUGCGCGCUUCUAAGUUACCUUGUCGUGCUUCAGCCUUUGGUCCCAUCUCAUGAAACCAGCAUUGUUCCAGCCUGUGAGAACCCUGUCUGCGUCCUCAGCUCGAUAGAUUUUGUUUAAUUUAAAAGCCUUUUGUUGUGAGAAGGUGAGGUUUGCCUAGUGCCCCCCUCUGGGUCUCUGCCAUCAACACCCCAGGGACUCCAAAACAAGUUGCCAACCUUGCCUUCCCGGCCCUUUUUCCUCCUGUGGUUUUGUGCAUACUGAAUUGUAUCUCACCGGGUAAAACUGUUCGGGUUAUUUGUUUAAAUUUAUAAUCUUAAUAAAAAGUCGAUUGUAGAGUGUA